This 253-nucleotide ribosomal RNA is filed under the name uncultured bacterium. Its description in RNAcentral is "partial 16S ribosomal RNA". It matches the Rfam family "Bacterial small subunit ribosomal RNA", at positions 524 to 776 of the family's 1533-position model. The record is from RNAcentral.
UACGGAGGGUGCGAGCGUUAAUCGGAAUUACUGGGCGUAAAGGGUGCGUAGGUGGUUUAUUAAGUUAUCUGUGAAAUUCCUGGGCUUAACCUGGGCAGGUCAGAUAAGACUGAUGAACUCGAGUAUGGGAGAGGGUAGUGGAAUUUCCGGUGUAGCGGUGAAAUGCGUAGAGAUCGGAAGGAACACCAGUGGCGAAGGCGGCUACCUGGCCUAAUACUGACACUGAGGCACGAAAGCGUGGGGAGCAAACAGG